This is a non-coding RNA of Misgurnus anguillicaudatus (oriental weatherfish), 2140 nucleotides long. The record is from RefSeq and is a predicted model, not a curated record. Lineage: Eukaryota; Metazoa; Chordata; Actinopteri; Cypriniformes; Cobitidae.
CUAAAAAACGUUGGGUUGUUUUUUCAACCCAACUGCUGGGUUGAGCCAGUUGGGUUAUUUUGUUGGGUUGUUUUAUCAGUGUUGGGUAGUUUUUGUGUAACCCAACUUGUUGGGUUAUAUGUUGGGUAAUUUUGAAGCAGAGCCAACUUAAUAGAUACAUAUAGCUGUUUCUCAAUAUUACUUUGUCUAGUCCACAAAAUGUAUUUUAAACAUAAGUUUAGGCGAGAAUAUAUAUGUAUAAUGUUCAAAUUUGCAGUCGGUUUGUAAAGUGAACGCCAAUUUUAAAGUUUAAUUAGUCAAAGUCGGAAUGUUACCAGCCACCGUUACCGGGCACCGGGUGUCAGUGUUGUUCUUCCCCAGAGAGAAAUCCUCACUUCCCCCACACAGACGGUCAGCUGAACUGCUUCUCACUGCAACGUUACCUGACGCGGGAGUUUAUUACCUCAAGAUUCAUAAACGGUUUUUCAUCGACUUAUCUUUGAUUUAUUUUAAGGAAAAGACUCUGAUGGAUAAAAGAUGGAUAUUUUUUCCUGGAGAAGCUAAAACAAUGUAACUUUGAGGUUCUGAUACCAGCUUUUACAACGUUAUUUACAGAGUUCACAAGACUUCUCUGUGUUAUUCCCUGAACAUGCCGAAAAGCUUUUUGAAACUUGGGCACUGCAUUUUACAGACAGAAUCCUGCAACUUCCCAGCCAAGAACCAGGAGCAUCAACAAAUCACCUCCAGAACCCCAUGAUGAUAUUCCAACUCCUGUCUACAAAAGUGGGAAGAAAAUCUUAAGUCUAUGUUGGGACCAACAUGGUUGCAUUCUUCUGAGAGGCUGAGGUGACAAAACCAUUCCCAUUUGUCCUUGAAUUGGAAGAUGACGAUUUCUGCCAUCAAGCCUUCGUUAUUUUGGACAGACAGUCACUCCAGCAAUACACCCUCCUUGGUGAUGUUGACAUGUUUUAAACUUUUUUUGUUUUGGACAUUCAUUUUACUAAGCAGUGCACAUCAGUGUUUACAAACUCCCAAGAACAGAAUCCCUUUCUAUAAGAAGUCUGUGUAGUUAUUUGUCAUGCUAAGGCGAUAACUCAUGUUGAUCAUAUAUUUUGUUUGUGCAACUUUGUGUUGAUCUUAUGUGUUACAUUAACCAUUUCUUAUUACACGGUUCUCUAAAAUGCUAGUUUCUGAUUGGCCAGUCGUGACAUUCUACUACUGCUCAAAACUAAAAACUCCAAUGAUGCAAAUCAUUUUGACAGGUACAGUUUUAUAUUACACAAAAAUUAAAUAUCAAUGUCUAUUAAUUACAUAUCCGACAUUAAAUUUACAAAUGAUUAAACCAAUGUGUAAUGACUUGUAAGAGACGGAAGCAAACGCAGGUGAAAAAUAUAACAAUGUUUAUUAAAUGUAAACAAAGAGAGAGUAUUCAGAGUCAAUGCGGAAGUAAUCCAGUCCGGUGUUGUUGAAGGCAAUGGUGACGAUGACUACGGUGGAAGUUGGUGUUUUGAGUGCGACGUUGGUGGAGUGGUGAAAUCCAGGCUGACACGGAACAUCCACAUGAAGACGACGACGACGACAAUACACAUCCAACUGUAACACGUAAUCCAGAGCACACGAAACAACCAAGCAACACGGAGACUGAGCAAACAUAAGAAUCUGGCAGGGAACAGAAAGUCAGGUGAGUAUAUAUGGAGAUGAUGUAAUGAUGAACAGCUGGAGCGAGACAAUCAACACACAGGUGAAAGGGAUUGCUCUAACGAGCACAUGGCAGGGGUAAGUGAACAACACACACACACAAACAUGACACGGAGGAAAACAAUGGAUUUUCCUACCGUGACACAAUGUGUUCGUGACAUUUGUCCUGAAGAAACUGUUGGGGCUUUUUUCUGUGAUGACAUGCUGCCAAUACAUUAUCCCUUACUUGUACAACUUUUUACUUGAUCUAAUUGUAAUGUUAACUGUGCAUCUGUCAUUUUAGAUUGUGAGAUAUAAUACUAAUAUAUUUUUUUUAUCAGAAAGUUGAUUGUUUGUGUAGGGCUAUGUACUCUUUUAUUGUUCAUGUGCAAUAAAUAUGCUUUUUCAAUUAAAUCUAUGCUUUGUUAUUUAUAGACACCACAAUGAAAGGUAUGAAAGCAAUUUAAACCACAAAAUUUCAGCU